This 1150-nucleotide long non-coding RNA is filed under the name Pan troglodytes (chimpanzee). RNAcentral describes it as "long non-coding RNA NONPTRT011899". The record is from RNAcentral. Lineage: Eukaryota; Metazoa; Chordata; Mammalia; Primates; Hominidae.
CAGCUACGGGUUUCGGUGCUGCGCCGGUUAAGCCGGCACCAGAAACAACCUGCGAACCCACCUGACGUGCGUCUUCCAGCACAGGGAAACGGGAUGGAAGUCAGAAGGGUCGACCACAAGGAGCUCUUACUGUGCAUCAGUUCAUCCUGCAAGUCCGCCACAUUUAGCUUCCUAUGUUACUGUCCUUUGGGGAUUCUCAAGGCUUUUCACAAAACUGGCUUCCACCUUCCUCACACACAUCCUCAUCUGGAAGAAAACUGACCUCUUCACAGAAACCCCUGACACCUUACUGACCCAGGAUCAUUGUUCAGGUGGCCAAAAGAAAAAGUUCUGCAGGCCAGGCGCGGUGACUCACUCCUGUAAUCCCAGCACUUUGGGAGGCCGAGGCGGGCGGAUCACCUGAGGUCAGGAGUUCAAGACCAGCCUGCCCAACAUGGAGAAACCCUGUCUCUACUAAAAAUACAAAAAUCAGCCGGGUGUGCUGGUGGGCGCCUGUAAUUCCAGCUACUCCGGAGGCUGAGGCGCGAGAAUCACUUGAACCUUGGAGGGGGAGGUUGCAGUGAGCAGAGACUGAGCCACUGCACUCCAGCUUGGGUGAUAGAGUGAGACUCUGUCUCAAAAACAAAACAAAACAAACACUGCUUUGGGCUCAAAUCCCUGAUUCUCAGUGUAUGAACUUUGCAACUUUACCUCUCUGUGCCUGCUUCCUCACUUACCAGGGAAAGUUUCAGAACUGUUGCUCCUGGCAGACACUUCGUGGACACGCAUACUCACCAUGCCUCCUUCCUGCUGACAGCUGGGGACUUAAGUCACAACCUGCAGACUAGCACAGAGAAAUGUCUGACUCUUCAGUUGAGUUCAACAAAUGCUUAUUGAGCACCUCCUAAGUACCAGGCACUGUUGAUACAAAGAAAAAGUCUCACUCUGUCUCCCAGGCUGGAGUGCACAGACACAAUCUCGGCUGACUGCAGCCUCCACCUCCCAGGUUCAAGUGAUUCUUGUGCCUCAGCCUCCUGAGAUAUCUUUAAAGUUUUGUUGUUUCUUUCUUAAGAAAACUCUCCCUAUUCUAAUCUCCACUCAUAAUUCUCAAGAUGGUGUACAAAUAUUGCUAUAAAUAACUAUUCAUCAGGAAGUUCCAAGAAAGGUUCUG